This is an RNA transcript of Cucurbita pepo subsp. pepo (vegetable marrow), 566 nucleotides long. It is a transcript of the gene named classical arabinogalactan protein 25-like, with no coding region annotated. The record is from RefSeq and is a predicted model, not a curated record. Lineage: Eukaryota; Viridiplantae; Streptophyta; Magnoliopsida; Cucurbitales; Cucurbitaceae.
UCAGAUGAUCGAAUAAUUAGGGAUUAAGUGCGUUGAUGUUUAGCGGAUGAACAAAAUUCUGCACGAAGCAAAUUAAUAGGUCUCACUUUUCGGUAACGUUUCACUUUUUUGCUCCGAGGAGUUUGUACUUAAAAUCCGGAAAAGUAAUCACCAUUAGAGACUGCUGAAUUUGUUUCAUCUCUGACUUGUUGAACUUUUGAUUGUGCAUUGUAUACAAGCUGGAAUUUGAAUGUUUGAGGUUUCUGCGGGAACAGUUGCGCUUCAUGAACUGGCUGUCUGAUCCUCCACUAAUCGCAGGUUAUGUUGGAUAACUCCGAGUUUUGCUUUCCGCUAUUGUUCCUCUGCUCAACCGGAGAGGAAAGCUCUCGUCAAAUAUGAUCAGGUUUGGUCCUGCUGGGGUACUUUAAUGGAGGGGACCUUAUGAGCUAUAGGAAUCGAGCAUGCGGUGUCAGGUGUGUUGGUUGAAAUUUGGAGUCGCACGUUAUACCAAUCAGUAUGUUUUCUCAAUGGUGCUGUUUAGGUAACCCUUCCUUGUCUCCUUUCCCUUGUCAUUAUCAUGUCUUCUU